GAUGAAGAACGUAGCGAAAUGCGAUAAGUAAUGUGAAUUGCAGAAUUCAGUGAAUCAUCGAGUCUUUGAACGCACAUUGUGCCCCCUGGUAUUCCGGGGGGCAUGCCUGUCCGAGCGUCAUUGCCGCCCUCAAGCACGGCUUGUGUGUUGGGCCCCCGCCCCCCGGCUUCGGGGGGCGGGCCCGAAAGGCAGCGGCGGCACCGCGUCCGGUCCUCGAGCGUAUGGGGCUUCGUCACCCGCUCUGUAGGCCCGGCCGGCGCCCGCCGGCGACCCCAAUCAAUCUUUCCAGGUUGACCUCGGAUCAGGUAGGGAUACCCGCUGAACUUAAGCAUAUCAAUAAGCGGAGGA
RNAcentral lists this unclassified non-coding RNA (348 nucleotides) under soil metagenome. RNAcentral's name for it is "partial contains 5.8S ribosomal RNA, internal transcribed spacer 2, and large subunit ribosomal RNA". The stretch from base 1 to 120 matches the Rfam family "5.8S ribosomal RNA", at positions 35 to 154 of the family's 154-position model. The record is from RNAcentral.